Molecule: ribosomal RNA, 497 nt
Filed under: uncultured bacterium
Lineage: Bacteria
Description: partial 16S ribosomal RNA
Rfam family: Bacterial small subunit ribosomal RNA
Source: RNAcentral
GAUGAACGCUGGCGGCGUGCCUAAUACAUGCAAGUCGAGCGAACGGACGAGAAGCUUGCUUCUCUGAUGUUGGCGGCGGACGGGUGAGUAACACGUGGAUAACCUACCUAUAAGACUGGGAUAACUUCGGGAAACCGUAGCUAAUACCGGAUAAUAUUUUGAACCGCAUGGUUCAAAAGUGAAAGACGGUCUUGCUGUCACUUAUAGAUGGAUCCGCGCUGCAUUAGCUAGUUGGUAAGGUAACGGCUUACCAAGGCAACGAUGCAUAGCCGACCUGAGAGGGUGACCGGCCACACUGGAACUGAGACACGGUCCAGACUCCUACGGGAGGCAGCAGUAGGGAAUCUUCCGCAAUGGGCGAAAGCCUGACGGAGCAACGCCGCGUGAGUGAUGAAGGUCUUCGGAUCGUAAAACUCUGUUAUUAGGGAAGAACAUAUGUGUAAGUAACUGUGCACAUCUUGACGGUACCUAAUCAGAAAGCCACGGCUAACUACGUG